UGAACACCACAUUCGCGUAAUUCAUGACGGGACAUAAGCAAGUUUUGUAAAGUGUCACCUUGUUCCGAAGGGACAUUUUACUCCGCUUACAGAUCAUGGGAUAGAGUCUGUCGAGAAUAAAUGCGGCACGGUCGCGGAGUGUUUUUAUAUGUGGGCGGAAUGUCAUGGAUCCAUCCAGGGUGACUCCCAGGUACUUGACCUUUCUGGCCCAGGGUAUAGGUUGGCCGAUGAGAGUGAACGGGGGUGUGAUAUUUCUCCUCCUAAUGUGGGAGGAAAUAAGCGGUGAGUUUCCCCUUUAAAAUAACACUGGUGUGCUUUUCGCUAGGUUGAUGUCUAUGCGCCAUUUUCGGAACCACUCUCCGAGGGUCAACGCUGCGCGCUGGAGUUUACUCGCGAUUAGGGACUUGUUUUUACUUGAGUAGUAAACGGUUGUGUCAUCAGCGAAUAAGGCUAGCUGGGUCGGCGGCGACCGGGGAAUAUCGUUAGUAAAUAAACCAAAUAGGAGCGGAGGGAGAACGGAGCCUUGCGGGACUCCAGCCGGGAGUCGCGGGGAGAAGCGGGUUCCCUCUACUCGAUAUCGAAAAGAGCGGUUCGACAUUCUUGUCCCGUAUGAUGAGCUCAUCUAGCUUUAACACUAGAAGUAGGGACCCCGGUUACCGCACUCGUCGAACUCGGCAAAGAGUGCGACGUGCAACCUAACCUAAGUCUAAACCUUUUUACUUGUGGUAGGACCUCUUGUGAAUCCGCACGGGUAGGUACCCUGCCUAAUUCUGCCGUGAAGCAGUAAUGCGUUUCGGUUUGAAGGGUGGAGCAGCCUUUGUAACUAUACUGAGACCUUAGAACUUAUAUUGAAAGUGACGUGUGUGUGGCGUAAUGUGGCGUGAUUGUUAGUAAAUAUUUAUUUAUUAAUCUGCUAAGUAAAUAAAAUCAUUUAGAACAGAAAAUAAUCGUUAUGUAAAUUAAAAAAAACAAAUCGGUAUAAUCUGAUAAUUUUCCCCUUUAUUAGAAUUAUUAUGAUGAUUCAACAGCAUUACAACAAACAUAUUUGUUUUGCUUUAACGAAAGAAGAUAUCCGACAAGGGCCUCUGCAUCGAUUUCCUGUAUUUAAAAGUCACUUCUCCGUAUCGAAAAGAUAAAAUCUUAAUUAAGAAUGACUUUGAUAACGCAGAAGUAAAAGCUUACUAGCGAUAAAUAUUUUCAAAUUGUGUAAUUGUAGUAAUUAGGGCUAUAUCGAUCACACCGAACAAAAUAAAGUAUACCAUACGAAUACAAUGUAUCAAAAUACAUAAAUGAAACAUAUAAAUUAAGAGAGCAGUGUGCGGAAAUUUAUUCUAUCGUUAUAUACUGAAUUUUCAAUAAAAUGUGUGUGAUGUCAUUUAAAAUUUUGUGAUGCCUCACACUAAAACUUUUUAAUAGGUACUCAAUUAAAAAAAAAAAGUGGAUAAACACAAGAGAAAAUGGUAGGUACUCAGAUGAUUUGUCUUUGCCUAUUUAAAUUGUUUUAUGGAUUACUUCAUUAAUUCAUUAAAGGUUUUGCAUUCAACGGUCUCAAUAUAGGAUUUGCUCCUGUUGGACAUGCCGGAUACACAUUUAACUGGGUGUUUUGACAUUCAGCGGCAAUUAUCUAAUGUCUGCUACAAAUUUGUGAAGAAAUUGUAUAGUUUGUCAGAAGCGCUCACUAACGAACUAUCGGCAGAAAUACUCCUCAAAAAGAAAGUAAAAUUCAUUGGACGUAACGGCCACCGGUCUUUUGGUCUAGAAUAAAAAGUGUUCAGGAUUUUUUUAUUUAUUAGAAGUAAUAAAAACCAACUAUUUUAUUCGACUAUAUUAAUAUUUGAAGACGGCACUGUCACUAUACGAGUACACCCUCAAGUCAUUGGACUUGCUUAAAUUUGCUUAAAUUUUACACAAAACACCUUGAAUUAAAAAUUGUUACAUGCACUGGUUUUAUUAUACAUACCAUGUAUAAUAAAACCAAUGUUCCUAUACAUAAAUAUAAAAAUAAAUACUCUUAUAAUUCCAAAGGAUUAGUUGCCAGAAAAUCACUCUUAAGUCAACUGCCAUUUUAUGAAAGUCAUGUUAUUAAGUAUUGCUUUUAAAAACAACCAGUGAAUACAGAAUAAAAUAUAUCCUUAUAAUUUAAUAUACCAGCGUAUAGUCAAAUCAGAUGAGAUAGCAAAACAUAUCUUGCUAUGUUUUAAUCCGAUAAAGCAAAAGUAUAAAUAAAACUUACGCUAUGAACAAAUGCCAGUCGAUUGCAACGAUCCCCAUCUAGAACUUUCAGAAGAAUUCUUCAAGUUCACAUUGUGUUUAUCUAAUCAGUUGUCCGGUUGUCCAAAUCAAAUUAUCAUAAUGCAACGUCCCUCACAAAAUUCCGGCUACCCAAGCAUGCCCACUAUGCCAGGACAGAUGCCGCCAAAUCCCGGGUAUGGAAUGCCCAUGCAGCCUGGACCUGGUUUCCCGCCCGGUCAAGUCCCACCACAGAACAUGCCACAUAACGCAUGCUUCAUGCCAGCAGCUACAAUCCGGAAAAUAAGCAACACAACCCCGCCACGUUUCGAUCCCAGUUUUCAGCCAAAAUAAUUUGUUAAUCCGAAUCUCUCUUGUAACUACAUGAAUAGUAAUACAUAAUGAUAAGCCGUAUUUAUAUUAUAUUUAGAUUUUCAAUGUAAAGCAAUUGAUAAAUAAUAUAUAAUGUAAACGAACAUCGAUCGAUAUUUAUUGCAAGUCGGUGAAGCGUAAUUAAGUUUAAUAUUAAAUAUAAUAAAUAUUUCAAGUUUCGAAUUUAUUUA
Molecule: RNA transcript, 2792 nt
Organism: Bombyx mori (domestic silkworm)
Lineage: Eukaryota; Metazoa; Arthropoda; Insecta; Lepidoptera; Bombycidae
Exons: 2
Source: RefSeq, a predicted model, not a curated record